AGAUUGAACGCUGGCGGCAUGCCUUACACAUGCAAGUCGAACGGCAGCACGGGAGCAAUCCUGGUGGCGAGUGGCGAACGGGUGAGUAAUACAUCGGAACGUGCCCAAUCGUGGGGGAUAACGCAGCGAAAGCUGUGCUAAUACCGCAUAAGAUCUACGGAUGAAAGCAGGGGAUCGCAAGACCUUGCGCGAAUGGAGCGGCCGAUGGCAGAUUAGGUAGUUGGUGGGUAAAGGCUCACCAAGCCUUCGAUCUGUAGCUGGUCUGAGAGGACGACCAGCCACACUGGGACUGAGACGACCGGCCCAGACUCCGUACGGGAGGCGAGCGAGGUAGGGGUAA
RNAcentral lists this ribosomal RNA (340 nucleotides) under uncultured soil bacterium. RNAcentral's name for it is "bacterial SSU rRNA". It matches the Rfam family "Bacterial small subunit ribosomal RNA", at positions 26 to 363 of the family's 1533-position model. The record is from RNAcentral.